UACGUAGGUGGCGAGCGUUAUCCGGAAUGAUUGGGCGUAAAGGGUGCGCAGGCGGUCUGUUAAGUCAGCGGUCAAAGCCCGGGGCUCAACCCCGGCCCGCCGUUGAAACUGGGGGGCUUGAGUAUGUUUGAGGCAGGCGGAAUGCGUGGUGUAGCGGUGAAAUGCAUAGAUAUCACGCAGAACCCCGAUUGCGAAGGCAGCAUACCGGCGCCCGACUGACGCUGAAGCACGAAAGCGUGGGUAUCGAACAGG
Molecule: ribosomal RNA, 252 nt
Filed under: uncultured Bacteroidales bacterium
Lineage: Bacteria; Pseudomonadati; Bacteroidota; Bacteroidia; Bacteroidales
Description: partial 16S ribosomal RNA
Rfam family: Bacterial small subunit ribosomal RNA
Source: RNAcentral